AAUCUAAACCUCCUUCCAGUUUAAAGCCGUUGCCCCUCGUCAGUUGCCCCUUGUCCAUUGCUCCUUGUCCAUUGCCAUAUGCCCUUGUGAAAAGUCUCUUUCCAGCUUUCUUGUGUAUGCCAAAAGUCAGCUAGUAAGAGAAGAGAGAGAAUAUCUAUUUAUUCUUUCUUUAUUUUUAUUUAGUCUAAUUUUAAAUGGUAAAACUUCCAGAGGACUACUUUAGCUAGGACUGGCUAAAGCAGUUUAUUUUUAUUUAGAGCAGCCUAAGCCACCUGCUUUGUAGAUGGUAAAUUCCUGCAUCUUUUGCUGAAUGCUUGUUAAAACAAAGAAUAAGGGAGACGGGCACCAUCUGCACGGAGCAGGGUAGCAGCAAAGGAGCCAUCAGGAUGAUGAGUGAACUGUGGUGUCUUGCUUUCCCUGCAGAUUGAAGAUAGGCAGGCCGAGAUGAGCAGGAGGAAUGUGCCUCAGAGGUAAAGAUGAGGAACACGCUCUUGAAAAGAGGGUGACUGCACCUGAAGGCACUGCUCAGAAGAGGAAGGUGUAUGCUAAUGAGCGAAAGCAGCAGGAAGAAAUGCAGCCGUGGACGUGGAGGGAAAGAAAGGAUCUCCACUAAUCGCCAUUAUGUUAUUACACUUUGAGCACAUUGCUUCCCUCAAGUGGGGCUGAGAGGAGGGUGAUACAUGGAUCUGAUAUGAAGUGCCUUUUCCAUCUCCUUGUAGUGUCUGGUUUUCUAGAGUGAACAUGUUGCUGUGGAGUUUCUUGUCCUAAAUUUGGAAGGAUGUGUUAAUAAAUUGUAAGACUGCUAGUGUCUUGUUUGUUUGGUUUUUUUUCCUCAAGUAAUGGCAACAUGAACUGUAAAGAGUGCCAUUGUGUUGUUUAUUUCCAUUACAGAACUGCUCUAAAGUGAAUGUGGGGGUGGGUACCUGGCUGUAAAAUCGUGUUACACGAGAAAUCACAAACAAGAACCCGUCCAGAUUUGCAGGCAGGGAAACACAGACAGUGCCUUCAUACCACUAAAUGAACCACAGACACAGUGCUUCCCUGAACAUUGCUGGAGUAGAUGCUUUUUUCUGGCAAUCAAAUAGUGAAGUUGAGUGAAACAGAAUUUGUGACAGCUGUUGCUAAGUUUAAUUUCUUUUACGUGGUUUUAAUAGAGGUGGAGUAGACUAAAAGCUUAAUCACUGAUGUCCACAACCAUCAGAUAAAGUCAGUUUAUCCAGUGAUUUGCUUUUCCUGUGUAUGAGAUAAACCUUGUCCUGAGAUCAGGCAGAGACUUCUGCAGCUUUCUCAUUAAACUGACCCCUGCUGCUCAUUGCUGUCCUCUGUCUAGGAAAUCUUCCUCCAAGUUUGUGCAUUUUAUCUUUUUGUAACAAAUGGUAUUUUGUAACACUUUUCUCUAAGACAACAAGAGUAUGUUGAGAGUAAGUGCUUUUACAGUAUCCUGGUACCCAGGAAACUUAUAAGCAGCUUUUCUGAAGGAUCUGUUCAGGGAUAGAAAAAGUCCUUUGAUAGAUCAUGUUAAUUAGACUUUUUUUAAUGUUUAGACUAAAGUGUACAUAUUAAAAUGUAUAUUUAGCAGUCAUGUUAGGUGUGCUAAUGAUUCUGAAACUUGGAAUCUUGUCUUAAUGAGGAAUGGUUUUGUUUCAAAUGCAGCUGUUACUUGCUGUUUAGGAACUGAGCUUUGGUGGGCUAAAAUGCCUUCUGAGCUGUAGUGCAUAACUUAGUGCCUGUAGCCAGUAGUGAUAUUGUAUGUGCUUCUCUCUGAAGUCAAGAAUUUAAUAUAAUAAAAAUAUCUUGCUGAAACAUAAUACAAUUUUUCUCUCUAUUUAAGACCUAGCAUCUUAAGUUGAAGCACUGUAACACAAUCUGUGCAGCGUACCAGCCUGCAGCACUACUGAUUUUUUUUUUGGUUUCUUAUUUCUUUCCGUAAACAAUGAGUCUCCAUUUGGAAAAAAUAAAUCCUUUAUAGAAUCAAAAAUAUCAUUUGAUAGCUAGG
Long non-coding RNA from Geospiza fortis (medium ground-finch), 1996 nucleotides. The record is from Ensembl. Lineage: Eukaryota; Metazoa; Chordata; Aves; Passeriformes; Thraupidae.